AAAACCCAAAUUUUUCUUCUUCCUCAUUUUCCUUGACAGUGAAUGUGUCUAGCUAAUGGUAGCAACGUGAAAGACUAGUCACUGUGGGGUCCCAAGGAUGAAAGAACAGAAAGAAAGAAAAAGAAAGAAAGAGAGAAAGAAAGAAAGAA
Molecule: non-coding RNA, 149 nt
Organism: Odocoileus virginianus texanus
Lineage: Eukaryota; Metazoa; Chordata; Mammalia; Artiodactyla; Cervidae
Source: RefSeq, a predicted model, not a curated record